Molecule: long non-coding RNA, 257 nt
Filed under: Cavia porcellus (domestic guinea pig)
Lineage: Eukaryota; Metazoa; Chordata; Mammalia; Rodentia; Caviidae
Description: lncRNA (ENSCPOG00000037591.1)
Source: RNAcentral
CACACUUUGAGAAGAGUGUCUUUCGGGCCAGGGAUACAACUCAGUGGCACAGCACCUGCCUGGGACAUUUGUGGAUACAUGAGAUGCCCCAAGUGAAGUACUUAGUGAAUCUUCAAAAAUUCAUACUCAUUCUGUAAGGUUUAAUGAUCCUUAAUUUAUCAUUUCACUCCAUGACUUUUGAAAAUUCACUGAAAAAUUAAUCUACAAUGUAAUUCUUCAGCUAACUAAUUGAAUCUCUAUCUCUCUCUGGGGUAAGU